GCUGUUUGGAAAAUCCCAGCAGCAGAUCAGCAGCUUACGAAAUACUCUGACCAGCCCAUCUGACACCAACAGCCACAUGUUCCUCAAGCACCUUUCUUCCUCAUUUUCAUGCUAAGUCCAAACGUUAGCAGCUCUUCUUGACCAUGUCUUCAUGCUUAGAUGCGUCUUGUGAUUGUGAAACAGUUGAACAGGUGUACCUAAUAAAGUGGCUGGCUCUCAGACUUUGUUUUAGGACAACACAUUGAUGUCAUCAGUGAGCUCAUCUAACUCAGAAAAACAAAGUCAUGGUAUGAUGGCUGCUGUAGCUAAGAGCGAAUUGAACCGAGUCACUCCUCCUUGUGUGGGACAGAUGCCCAAACACUGUGGCAGCCUUGUUGAAAGGGACCUUUGUAGCUGUCAGGAGCGGUGGAGGGGGCUGAAGAAGCACAUGCAGCGCUGCGAAAACACUCACAUGAACAUGUUCAGACACUGACAAUGUGCUUCAUUUACAUGUCAGGAUACAACUUAUUUAUCAAUUUGCUGUUCUGGAGCUUUCAGUGACAUCAUGUAAUCUUCAGCUGCCGAUUGAGCGCGCCCAGAUGUGAACCAGAAAUCCCUGAGCUCCUUUAGGAAAAAAUGGAUGUUAAGAAAGCUGCAUUUCCACGACAACUCGGGCCAACUCUGUCUGCUGA
Molecule: long non-coding RNA, 671 nt
Organism: Astatotilapia calliptera (eastern happy)
Lineage: Eukaryota; Metazoa; Chordata; Actinopteri; Cichliformes; Cichlidae
Source: Ensembl